GUGGGUGUAGCUCAACUGGUUAGAGCAUCUGACUGUGGAUCAGAGGGCUGGGGGUUCAAGUCCCCUCACCCACC
This 74-nucleotide transfer RNA is filed under the name candidate division Zixibacteria bacterium RBG_16_48_11. RNAcentral's name for it is "tRNA-His". It matches the Rfam family "tRNA". From Rfam's summary of the family: Transfer RNA (tRNA) molecules are approximately 80 nucleotides in length. Lineage: Bacteria; Pseudomonadati; Candidatus Zixiibacteriota. The record is from RNAcentral.